GGCCAGUUGUGAAGAGUAAAGUCAGGCAUUUCAACGAGAUGAGAAUGGCUGAUCAAGGCCCUGAAAAGGCCGGCGUCGGCGGUUCAAGUCCGUCCCUGGCCACCA
Molecule: transfer RNA, 105 nt
Filed under: Bryobacteraceae bacterium
Lineage: Bacteria; Pseudomonadati; Acidobacteriota; Terriglobia; Bryobacterales; Bryobacteraceae
Description: tRNA-OTHER
Source: RNAcentral